AUCAUGUUGAAUACCAAUUCAGUGAUGCAAAUUUGAUUUUUAGCGAUUUACUUGUGAAGAUUAAGAACAAAGAUCCUGAAGGAUAUGUUCUAAUGUCUAUUAUUGCCUCUUGGAAGAAGAUAAAAAAUCUCGGGGUUAACAAUCAGAUGCUUGCUAAAGCUCUUAGAACAUCAUCACAAUUUGUAAAUUUCCUCUAAACCUCCUUUUAUGGUUCCCAUAAUUUGUUAAGAUAAUGUCAAUGCUUCUUCUUUUUUUCUCUUUUGUUAAAUCAGGUGGUGAUUGAAGAUGGCAAGAAAGUGAGGAGCAAGAAACUCUUUACAGAGAAAGCCAAGAAGGAGCAGAUGUAAGCGCACUGUUGUAGUUGAAAUUUACCAGAGGACAGCUCACACCAAAACAUCGAGAAGUUCAUCAGCGUAGUUGGAUGGUUUGAAAAACAAGUGUUAAGAAUAUCAGAAUAUGUCAUCCUCAAGAGCCUAAUUCAACUAGGCCCUCAAAGACUGUCGUUAUAAUUAGUAACAAGUUGCAUGCAUUUGUGGAGUUUGAGACAAUUGUUCAAGCAGAUAAGGCCGUAGAGAAGCAAAAUUAUGAGAGCAAUUGGAGGAAAGGUUUGUGUGUGAGAUCAUUGCUUAAAUGCACGCCAAGAUCAGUAAUCAGAGGCAAAAUGUUAGAUCAUGAUCAUUUUGACUUGAACUCGGAGGAUGAUCAGUCUCCCCUCUCUCAAAAAUUAGAAUCUUCCAAAAAAUUGAGCAAGUACUUCAACAGGAUAUUGGUGAAAAUCAAAAUGGUGCAAGGAAUGCACGUGGAAGGGGACAAGGGAAACUAAUUAACUGGCCUAGUUCAAAAUAACAACGGACGUGGUGUUUUAUCCAGAACUCCACAAGGAACACCAAGGAUUGGCCACGUACUGUGUGAGAACAAUAUCAAACAAGCUUCUCCUGGAACAAGGAUGCACGACAGAACUCGGGGAUUCACUAUGGGAAGAGGAAAGCCAAUAAAAUCACUGACGACCGCAACUGAUCUUUCCCCAUCAAUCUUUGAUAUUUUUACUUGUUGCCUUCUCUUAUUUUGAAAUGGUCCUAGCUUGUUUUACAAUGCUUGAAUAAUAAUUCUUUCAUGUUUUCUACUGUUUAUCAUGUUGUAUUUCAUCGUAAUGUUUUGGAAUUUAUUUAUGCAACUUGUUUGUUGAACCGAAUAAUUUUGGCGUUAUGCUUUUGUUUCAAGUA
Molecule: RNA transcript, 1223 nt
Organism: Dendrobium catenatum
Lineage: Eukaryota; Viridiplantae; Streptophyta; Magnoliopsida; Asparagales; Orchidaceae
Exons: 8
Source: RefSeq, a predicted model, not a curated record